GAAGAUCAACCGAUCACAUAUCCAUUCCUUACAACUUUCUCGAUUCACCACUUUUUCUGUUACAAGUAACUGUCUUCUUUUAAAAAAACAGAUGCAAUCCAAUACUUAGCAGCUUCAACUAUACAAAGAUGUCACAGUACCCAUAAAUUUGGAAAUCACAGUGGUAUGUCACCCGUGACAGAGGGCAGAGGCACAAAACCAUCUCAUCUGUACUUCGUUUUUUGCUUUGUCUUUAUGAAAAUAUAAGGAAGCUUCCACAUAAAUCCAUCCAUGCUGCUGCUUUUACAACUUUGAAAUCCCUUAUUUAUCAAAGAGACAAGAGAGAAUAAUAAAUCCAAAAAUUUGUGAGCCUACAAUGACCUCACCUUCAACAUCA
This 376-nucleotide long non-coding RNA is filed under the name Malus domestica (apple). RNAcentral describes it as "long non-coding RNA (MDOM_LNC009414)". Lineage: Eukaryota; Viridiplantae; Streptophyta; Magnoliopsida; Rosales; Rosaceae. The record is from RNAcentral.